RNAcentral lists this ribosomal RNA (481 nucleotides) under uncultured bacterium. RNAcentral's name for it is "bacterial SSU rRNA". It matches the Rfam family "Bacterial small subunit ribosomal RNA", at positions 30 to 507 of the family's 1533-position model. The record is from RNAcentral.
AUUGAACGCUGGCGGCAUGCUUUACACAUGCAAGUCGAACGGUAACAGGUCUUCGGAUGCUGACGAGUGGCGAACGGGUGAGUAAUGUAUCGGAACGUGCCCAGUAGUGGGGGAUAACUACUCGAAAGAGUGGCUAAUACCGCAUGAGAACUGAGGUUGAAAGCGGGGGACCUUCGGGCCUCGCGCUACUGGAGCGGCCGAUAUCAGAUUAGGUAGUUGGUGGGGUAAAGGCCUACCAAGCCGACGAUCUGUAGCUGGUCUGAGAGGACGACCAGCCACACUGGGACUGAGACACGGCCCAGACUCCUACGGGAGGCAGCAGUGGGGAAUUUUGGACAAUGGACGCAAGUCUGAUCCAGCAAUGCCGCGUGCAGGACGAAGGCCUUCGGGUGUAAACUGCUUUUGUACAGAACGAAAAGGCCCUCUCUAAUACAGGGGGUUCAUGACGGUACCGUAAGAAUAAGCACCGGCUAACUACGUG